This 281-nucleotide long non-coding RNA is filed under the name Nicotiana tabacum (common tobacco). RNAcentral describes it as "long non-coding RNA (NTAB_LNC007428)". Lineage: Eukaryota; Viridiplantae; Streptophyta; Magnoliopsida; Solanales; Solanaceae. The record is from RNAcentral.
CCAUCCUCAGUCAGAAGCUUAUUAUCUCCCAGCUGGUCAAGCACCGGAAAACUUAAGUCAGCAGUACCAACUGCCUGCACCACAGCAGCAUCAGACUCCUCCACCACCUCCACAUCAACAAUAUCAGUCUGCCCCUCCGCCAAUAUACUCUCAGCCACCUCCACCUGCUCAACCACAACCCCCUCAUUCCUCUGUCAAUCCCUCGCAACCUCAACCUCUAGUAGGCCAUCAUCGUGAAGAGACACCUUUUGUACCAUCCCAGAAUUAUCCACCACCAAGCA